GGGAAUAUUGGGCAAUGGGCGCAAGCCUGACCCAGCCAUGCCGCGUGAAGGAAGACGGCCCUAGUGGUUGUAAACUUCUUUUGUAACAGAGAAAACUUGGUUACGUGUAGCCAAUUGCUAGUAUGUUACGAAUAAGGAUCGGCUAACUCCGUGCCAGCAGCCGCGGUAAUACGGAGGAUCCAAGCGUUAUCCGGAUUUAUUGGGUUUAAAGGGUGCGCAGGCGGACGCAUAAGUCAGAGGUGAAAUUCCAGAGCUUAACUCUGGGACUGCCUUUGAUACUGUGUGUCUUGAGUAUAGUUGGCGUAGGCGGAAUGUGUCAUGUAGCGGUGAAAUGCAUAGAUAUGACACAGAACACCGAUCG
This 361-nucleotide ribosomal RNA is filed under the name uncultured bacterium. RNAcentral's name for it is "bacterial SSU rRNA". It matches the Rfam family "Bacterial small subunit ribosomal RNA", at positions 357 to 715 of the family's 1533-position model. The record is from RNAcentral.